This 75-nucleotide transfer RNA is filed under the name Fastidiosipila sanguinis. RNAcentral's name for it is "tRNA-Arg". It matches the Rfam family "tRNA". Rfam says of the family: Transfer RNA (tRNA) molecules are approximately 80 nucleotides in length. Their secondary structure includes four short double-helical elements and three loops (D, anti-codon, and T loops). Lineage: Bacteria; Bacillati; Bacillota; Clostridia; Eubacteriales; Oscillospiraceae. The record is from RNAcentral.
GAUUCGGUAGCCAAGUGGAUAAGGCAAUAGUUUCCGGAGCUAUGAGCGAGGGUUCGAUCCCCUCUCGAAUCGCCA